CCUACGGGAGGCAGCAGUGGGGAAUAUUGGUCAAUGGGCGCAAGCCUGACCCAGCAACGCCGCGUGAAGGAAGAAGGUUCUAGGGUUUGAAACUUCCUUUUGCAGGGGAGAGUAGACGACGGUACCUGUCGAAUAAGCCACGGCUAACUACGUGCCAGCAGCCGCGGUACUACGUAGGUGGCGAGCGUUUUCCGGAUUUACUGGGUGUAAAGGGCGUGUUGACGGGUUGACAAGUCAGAUGUGAAAUCCUGCGGCUUAACCGCAGAACUGCAGUUGAAACUGUCGAGCUUGAGUACUGGUGAGGCAGACGGAAUUCGUAGUGUAGCGGUGAAAUGCUUAGAUAUGAGGAAGAACACCAGUGGCGAAGGCGGUCUGCUGGAGAGGAACUGACGGUGAGGCGCGAAAGCGUGGGGAGCGAACAGGAUUAGAUACCCCAGUAGUC
RNAcentral lists this ribosomal RNA (442 nucleotides) under uncultured bacterium. RNAcentral describes it as "partial 16S ribosomal RNA". It matches the Rfam family "Bacterial small subunit ribosomal RNA", at positions 338 to 795 of the family's 1533-position model. The record is from RNAcentral.